GGCUCUUUAUUGAGUCUUCGGGGCGUACAGGCGAGGGAACAGUGAGAACAGGGGAGGGAGAGAGGGCAUUGCCUUCGCCUGGUUUGGAGGCAAAGGGGAGGAGUGAGAGAGUCUUGGAGGGGGUGGUUCCAGGUGUGGAGGCGAUGAAAAUGGAGUCUGGAAGGUGAGAUUUCAUGUGGGAGAAGAGAGGAGAAGCAGUGGAGGGAGAUGGGGACAAGGGAACCGUUGGAAGGUGGGGUUUGUAGUCGCUCUCCCCGGAAGAGAACGAGACGGUCUUCCUUUGCUUCUUGAGAGGAGGCACAAUAACAAUUGGGGAGGAGGGGCGGGGGGCUGGAGGACGAGCGUUUGAGCUGAGUGUUGAUGAAUCCUUCUUGCUGGCAGCAAUUUCUGAGAUAUGGGCACAUAUUUGAAUUAUGAAUCAGGUGAAAAACAACAUUGGCACUUGCCAUGGAAAUGAACAUCCGUAACAGAGAAACUAAAUGUGUGACUAACCAGCUUUGAUCUCGGCGCUGAGUGGUGCUUUUGGAACAGCAGCUGCAGACUUUUCUCUGGAGUGCACAACAAGUGGAAUGGUCAGUAUCAACCCAGACACACAUUAAGCAACAAAUCAAGUUUCAAUAAAGACACUUCCAUAGGAAAUAUAUAGAAAACAUUUUGGAUACUUAUAUACAGGUAUAUUCAAAAUCAGGAACACUGUUCAAAACGUACCGGUCAUCCCCCUUCUCUGUGUCCAGAGCUGUGCUGUCCAUCGUAGACUCAUCCAUGGUGUCCAGUCCACUGCCGGCCUGCUCUCCUUCCUCCUCAUCUUCAGAGGAAGAGGAUGAUGAUGAUGUUGAGGAGGAAGAACUCUCUGUGGAUGAGGAGAGGCUCUCAUCGCUGUCUGCACUCAAGGCCUCAUCUGAAGAAAGAAGUGAGAGGAAGUGAGAGAUGAUAAGAUGGCAUGAUGGAAAAGAGAGGAACAGAAGGACACAGUUUGUGAUAAUAUACAAGUGUCUCAGGUUCAAUCCAAGUCAAUGAAGCCAAAGUACAGCAGAGUAUGAAGAGACAUACAGUGAAAUGCUGCCAUCUAGCCAGCACUAUGGGGAAAUACAACAACACUGCCAACACCUUAUCUGAAGAAGAACCGUCAGAAGUCUCUUCUCCUUCGCUGUCCAGGUCCCAAGGUUUCCGACUUCUCGUCUUCUUCUUCUUCCUCCGCCUGCUGUUCCUCUCAGCCCUGUGGCCCUCCCCAUCUGCCAUUCUUCCCUCUAGACCCUUGUCAUGGUACGAGUCUGGGGGGAGAAGGAGAGAGAUGGUGAGCCAACAUAGGAAACACAAAGACGGUCGGUGACAAAUCCCCAAAGGGAUUCCCAAAGGAGGGGGUCAUUGAUGAAAAGCUCACCUUCGUCGUCAUCCUCUGGCGGUGUCUUGGGUCUCUUCAUCUCUCCUACCUCUGCUAGCUCCAGAGGUUCUUUCCUCUUCACCUGGACACAAUACACACAGUUAAUAUCAUGAUAAGUUAUUGUGGAAAAAAUCCCUCAGUGAAUGGAUGGAUACAUUGGAGUAAUGUCUAUACAUGAACAUGUAUUAGUGUAAUGUCUAUACAUGUAUUAGUGUAAUGUCUAUACAUGUAUUAGUGUAAUGUCUAUACAUGUAUUAGUGUAAUGUCUAUACAUGUAUUAGUGUAAUGUCUAUACAUGUAUUAGUGUAAUGUCUAUACAUGUAUUAGUGUAAUGUCUAUACAUGUAUUAGUGUAAUGUCUAUACAUGUAUUAGUGUAAUGUCUAUACAUGUAUUAGUGUAAUGUCUAUACAUGUAUUAGUGUAAUGUCUAUACAUGUAUUAGUGUAAUGUCUAUACAUGUAUUAGUGUAAUGUCUAUACAUGUAUUAGUGUAAUGUCUAUACAUGUAUUAGUGUAAUGUCUAUACAUGUAUUAGUGUAAUGUCUAUACAUGUACAUGUAUUAGUGUAAUAUCUAUACAUGAACAUGUAUUUGUGUAAUAUCUAUACAUGAACAUGUAUUUGUGUAAUAUCUAUACAUGAACAUGUAUUUGUGUAAUAUCUAUACAUGAACAUGUAUUAGUGCAUGGGUGUCAAACUCUGGCCCGCGGGCCCUACUCUGGCCCUACUAGAGCUGGCCCACCGGUAUUAUACAGCGCAUUCACCGCUGAUACUACGAAUCCCAUAAUGCUCUGCUGUUGUUUUCGCGCGCCAAUCAGGACAGGACCCAGAAACGCCCUCUCCUCUGUGACAGAAGUCAUAGCAACAUAGACGCUACAACUGUCAGCGCGCUAUCCCUUCCCAAAAAUCGCGAAAAGAAAGGCAGAAAACAGGAGCUUUCUGGACAAGUGGGAGGCAGAAUAUCUGUUUACAUAUGUAAAAGACAAACCUGUUUGUCUUGUUUGUGGAGUCAACGUGGCUGUAAGUAAGGAGUACAACAUUAGACGACACUAUGAAACGAAACACCAUGACAAAUACAAGGACCUGGACGUGACUCAAAGGAGCCAGAAAGUAGAGGAGAUGAAAAGAAGUUUGGUUUCACAACAGAAUAUGUUAAAAAAAGCCACAUCACAAAGUGAGGCUGCUGUAAAGGCUAGUUAUAUAGUGGCAGCAGAGAUCGCAAAAUCAGCCCGGCCCUUUAAUGAGGGAGAGUUCGUGAAAAAGUGCAUGAUGAAAGUUUGUGACCUCGUAUGCCCAGAGAAAAAGUAAGCAUUUUCAAACGUGAGCCUGAGCAGGAACACAGUAGAUUUCUUCAGCUCAGAGCCUGAGCCCAGACAUUGAUGAACUAGCAUCCAAGAAGAGAUGCCAGGUAUCUGGCUUGGGCACAUCAGAUUAGAUCAGUGUGCAAUAAUUAACGUUUUCUUUGUGCACUUUUUCUUGCUACAAGGCAUGGGCUUGAAUGGUUGAUUGAUUUAUUAUCAUUUUAUUUGUAAAAUUAUUAGCCAGUGGAAAAAGUUUAUUUUGGUAUUUAAAUCAGAAGGCUGCAAAUAGAAAAGAGGCAUA
This is a long non-coding RNA of Salvelinus namaycush (lake trout), 2980 nucleotides long. RefSeq lists it as uncharacterized. The transcript is spliced from 3 exons. Lineage: Eukaryota; Metazoa; Chordata; Actinopteri; Salmoniformes; Salmonidae. The record is from RefSeq and is a predicted model, not a curated record.